UCCCUAGUAGUCCAGGGUUAGGACUCUGAGCUUCCAAGGCAGGGAGUGUAGGUUCGAUCCCUGAUCAGGGAA
Molecule: transfer RNA, 72 nt
Filed under: Bos taurus (domestic cattle)
Lineage: Eukaryota; Metazoa; Chordata; Mammalia; Artiodactyla; Bovidae
Also listed under: 5 other names
Rfam family: tRNA
About the family: Transfer RNA (tRNA) molecules are approximately 80 nucleotides in length. Their secondary structure includes four short double-helical elements and three loops (D, anti-codon, and T loops).
Source: Rfam by way of RNAcentral